CCUACGGGGGGCAGCAGUGGGGAAUAUUGGACAAUGGGGGCAACCCUGAUCCAGCCAUGCCGCGUGUGUGAAGAAGGCCCUCGGGUUGUAAAGCACUUUCAGUGAGGAAGAACGCCUGGUGGUUAAUACCCAUCAGGAAAGACAUCACUCACAGAAGAAGCACCGGCUAACUCCGUGCCAGCAGCCGCGGUAAUACGGAGGGUGCGAGCGUUAAUCGGAAUUACUGGGCGUAAAGCGCGCGUAGGUGGCUUGAUAAGCCGGUUGUGAAAGCCCCGGGCUCAACCUGGGAACGGCAUCCGGAACUGUCAAGCUAGAGUGCAGGAGAGGAAGGUAGAAUUCCCGGUGUAGCGGUGAAAUGCGUAGAGAUCGGGAGGAAUACCAGUGGCGAAGGCGGCCUUCUGGACUGACACUGACACUGAGGUGCGAAAGCGUGGGUAGCAAACUGGAUUAGAUACCCUAGUAGUC
This 465-nucleotide ribosomal RNA is filed under the name Vreelandella stevensii. RNAcentral describes it as "partial 16S ribosomal RNA". It matches the Rfam family "Bacterial small subunit ribosomal RNA", at positions 338 to 795 of the family's 1533-position model. Lineage: Bacteria; Pseudomonadati; Pseudomonadota; Gammaproteobacteria; Oceanospirillales; Halomonadaceae. The record is from RNAcentral.